GUCCACGCUGUAAACGAUGAGAACUAGAUGUUGGGAGUGUUUUGCCUCUCAGUGUCGCAGCUAACGCGCUAAGUUCUCCGCCUGGGGAGUACGGCCGCAAGGUUGAAACUCAAAGGAAUUGACGGGGACCCCGCACAAGCGGUGGAGCAUGUGGUUUAAUUCGAUGCAACGCGAAGAACCUUACCUGGUCUUGACAUCCCAGGAACCUCGCAGAGAUGUGGGGGUGCCUUCGGGAACCUGGAGACAGGUGCUGCAUGGCUGUCGU
RNAcentral lists this ribosomal RNA (265 nucleotides) under uncultured bacterium. RNAcentral describes it as "partial 16S ribosomal RNA". It matches the Rfam family "Bacterial small subunit ribosomal RNA", at positions 793 to 1055 of the family's 1533-position model. The record is from RNAcentral.